AUACGUAGGGUGCAAGCGUUAAUCGGAAUUACUGGGCGUAAAGCGUGCGCAGGCGGUUUUGUAAGACAGAGGUGAAAUCCCCGGGCUCAACCUGGGAACUGCCUUUGUGACUGCAAGGCUAGAGUACGGCAGAGGGGGGUGGAAUUCCGCGGGGAGCAGUGAAAUGCGUAGAUAUGCGGAGGAACACCGAUGGCGAAGGCAAUCCCCUGGGCCUGUACUGACGCUCAUGCACGAAAGCGUGGGGAGCAAACAGGACUAGAUACCCUGGUAGUCCACGCCCUAAACGAUGUCAACUGGUUGUUGGGUCUUCAUUGACUCAGUAACGAAGCUAACGCGUGAAGUUGACCGCCUGGGGAGUACGGCCGCAAGGUUGAAACUUAAAGGAAUUGACGGGG
This 395-nucleotide ribosomal RNA is filed under the name uncultured bacterium. Its description in RNAcentral is "partial 16S ribosomal RNA". It matches the Rfam family "Bacterial small subunit ribosomal RNA", at positions 523 to 918 of the family's 1533-position model. The record is from RNAcentral.